UACGGGGGAUGCAAGCGUUAUCCGGAUUUAUUGGGUUUAAAGGGUGCGUAGGCUGUGAGGUAAGUCAGCGGUGAAAUGCCCCCGCUCAACGGGGUGAAGUGCCAUUGAUACUGCCUUGCUGGAAUGCGGAUGCCGUGGGAGGAAUGUGUGGUGUAGCGGUGAAAUGCAUAGAUAUCACACAGAACACCGAUUGGGAAGGCAUCUCACGAAUCCGCGAUUGACGCUGAUGCACGAAAGCGUGGGUAUCAAACAGG
RNAcentral lists this ribosomal RNA (254 nucleotides) under uncultured bacterium. RNAcentral's name for it is "partial 16S ribosomal RNA". It matches the Rfam family "Bacterial small subunit ribosomal RNA", at positions 524 to 776 of the family's 1533-position model. The record is from RNAcentral.